RNAcentral lists this ribosomal RNA (442 nucleotides) under uncultured bacterium. Its description in RNAcentral is "partial 16S ribosomal RNA". It matches the Rfam family "Bacterial small subunit ribosomal RNA", at positions 338 to 795 of the family's 1533-position model. The record is from RNAcentral.
CCUACGGGAGGCAGCAGUGGGGAAUAUUGCACAAUGGGGGAAACCCUGAUGCAGCGACGCCGCGUGAGUGAAGAAGUAUUUAGGUAUGUAAAGCUCUAUCAGCAGGGGAGAAGAAAUGACGGUACCUGAGUAAGAAGCCCCGGCUAACUACGUGCCAGCAGCCGAGGUAAUACGUAGGGGGCAAGCGUUAUCCGGAAUUACUGGGUGUAAAGGGAGCGUAGACGGUGAGGUAAGUCUGGGGUGAAAGGCGGGGGCCCAACCCUCUGACUGCGUUGGAAACUAUGUGACUGGAGUGCAGGAGAGGUGAGCGGAAUUCGUGGUGUAGCGGUGAAAUGCGUAGAUAGUAGGAAGAACACCAAUUGCGAAGGCAGCUCACUGGACUGUAACUGACGUUGAGGCUCGAAAGCGUGGGGAUCAAACAGGAUUAGAUACCCCAGUAGUC